RNAcentral lists this ribosomal RNA (460 nucleotides) under uncultured bacterium. RNAcentral describes it as "partial 16S ribosomal RNA". It matches the Rfam family "Bacterial small subunit ribosomal RNA", at positions 338 to 795 of the family's 1533-position model. The record is from RNAcentral.
CCUACGGGGGGCAGCAGUGAGGAAUAUUGGUCAAUGGACGAGAGUCUGAACCAGCCAAGUAGCGUGAAGGAUGACUGCCCUAUGGGUUGUAAACUUCUUUUAUAUGGGAAUAAAAUGUUCCACGUGUGGGAUUUUGUAUGUACCAUAUGAAUAAGGAUCGGCUAACUCCGUGCCAGCAGCUGCGGUAAUACGGAGGAUCCGAGCGUUAUCCGGAUUUAUUGGGUUUAAAGGGAGCGUAGGUGGAUUGUUAAGUCAGUUGUGAAAGUUUGCGGCUCAACCGUAAAAUUGCAGUUGAAACUGGCAGGCUUGAGUACAGUAGAGGUGGGCGGAAUUCGUGGUGUAGCGGUGAAAUGCUUAGAUAUCACGAAGAACUCCGAUUGCGAAGGCAGCUCACUGGACUGCAACUGACACUGAGGCUCGAAAGUGUGGGUAUCAAACAGGAUUAGAUACCCCAGUAGUC